This 465-nucleotide ribosomal RNA is filed under the name Vreelandella stevensii. RNAcentral's name for it is "partial 16S ribosomal RNA". It matches the Rfam family "Bacterial small subunit ribosomal RNA", at positions 338 to 795 of the family's 1533-position model. Lineage: Bacteria; Pseudomonadati; Pseudomonadota; Gammaproteobacteria; Oceanospirillales; Halomonadaceae. The record is from RNAcentral.
CCUACGGGUGGCUGCAGUGGGGAAUAUUGGACAAUGGGGGCAACCCUGAUCCAGCCAUGCCGCGUGUGUGAAGAAGGCCCUCGGGUUGUAAAGCACUUUCAGUGAGGAAGAACGCCUGGUGGUUAAUACCCAUCAGGAAAGACAUCACUCACAGAAGAAGCACCGGCUAACUCCGUGCCAGCAGCCGCGGUAAUACGGAGGGUGCGAGCGUGAAUCGGAAUUACUGGGCGUAAAGCGCGCGUAGGUGGCUUGAUAAGCCGGUUGUGAAAGCCCCGGGCUCAACCUGGGAACGGCAUCCGGAACUGUCAAGCUAGAGUGCAGGAGAGGAAGGUAGAAUUCCCGGUAUAGCGGUGAAAUGCGUAGAGAUCGGGAGGAAUACCAGUGGCGAAGGCGGCCUUCUGGACUGACACUGACACUGAGGUGCGAAAGCGUGGGUAGCAAACAGGAUUAGAUACCCUAGAAGUC